RNAcentral lists this non-coding RNA (21 nucleotides) under Caenorhabditis elegans. Lineage: Eukaryota; Metazoa; Nematoda; Chromadorea; Rhabditida; Rhabditidae. The record is from RNAcentral.
UCAUAUCUUGAUUUCACCCAA